RNAcentral lists this ribosomal RNA (491 nucleotides) under Pseudomonas nitroreducens. Its description in RNAcentral is "bacterial SSU rRNA". It matches the Rfam family "Bacterial small subunit ribosomal RNA", at positions 38 to 524 of the family's 1533-position model. The record is from RNAcentral. Lineage: Bacteria; Pseudomonadati; Pseudomonadota; Gammaproteobacteria; Pseudomonadales; Pseudomonadaceae.
AGGAGGGCGGUCUAACCAUGCAAGUCGAGCGGAUGAUGGGAGCUUGCUCCUGGAUUCAGCGGCGGACGGGUGAGUAAUGCCUAGGAAUCUGCCUGGUAGUGGGGGACAACGUUUCGAAAGGAACGCUAAUACCGCAUACGUCCUACGGGAGAAAGCAGGGGACCUUCGGGCCUUGCGCUAUCAGAUGAGCCUAGGUCGGAUUAGCUAGUUGGUGGGGUAAAGGCCUACCAAGGCGACGAUCCGUAACUGGUCUGAGAGGAUGAUCAGUCACACUGGAACUGAGACACGGUCCAGACUCCUACGGGAGGCAGCAGUGGGGAAUAUUGGACAAUGGGCGAAAGCCUGAUCCAGCCAUGCCGCGUGUGUGAAGAAGGUCUUCGGAUUGUAAAGCACUUUAAGUUGGGAGGAAGGGCAGUAAGUUAAUACCUUGCUGUUUUGACGUUACCAACAGAAUAAGCACCGGCUAACUUCGUGCCAGCAGCCGCGGUAAU